CAUCAUUCUAAAAUGCAUCAUUAUUUCAUAUAUCACCACCCCAGCUGUUAUAUCACCACCCCAGCUGUUAAGCUGCCAUAAUGCUUUAUUACAUCAUGUUUGUAAGAUACAUUUCAAUUUCAGAGAUGCAAAAAUAUGAAAAGUAUAUGUUAGAAUAAACAAAAUAUGCGUACUGUAACAUUUCCAGGAGUAUAAUAAUCUUAAACAGACGAUAUAAAUGGUUUGGCACUUUGACAGUUAAUACUUGUUAGGGCUAAAGAUGUAGCUCAGUGGUACAGUAUUUCUCUAGCAUGUACUGAAGCCCUGGGUUCAUUCUCUAGCACUGCAACAAAACAAAACAAUACUUGUCAACUUUGGCAAAAAAAAAAAAAGUAGCCUGGAUUAGGCUUUUAUCCAGGGGCAAUAUCUAUGAAUAUAGCUUUUGAUCCAGAUCUGGUUUCAAAAUUUGAACUUUUACAGAAUGUCAGUUAUCAAGAAUACAAGUAACAAUAAAUGUUGGCAAGGAUGUAGGGGGAAAGGCUCACUUAUACAUCGCUGGUGGGACUGAAAAUUGAUGCAACCAAUUUGGAAAGCAGUAUGGAGAUUCCUUAGAACACUUGGAAUGGAACUGCCAUUUGACCUAGCUAUCCCACUCUUCAGGUCCUACCCAAAAGGCUUAAAAUUAGCAUAUUACAGUGAUGCAGCCACUCAAUGUUUAUAGCAGCUCACUUAACAACAGCUAAACUAUGGAACCAACCUAGUUCCCUACAACAGAUGAAUGGAUAAAGGAAAUGUGGUAUAUAUACACAAUGAAAUAUUAUUCAGCCAUAAAAAAGAAUGAAAUUAUGGCAUUUGUCAGUAAAUGGAUGAAACUGGAGACUGUCAUACCAAGUGAAGUAAGCCAAUCCCCCAAACCAAAGGCUGAAUGUUCCCUGUGAUAUGUGGAUGUUAACCCACAACAAGGAAGGGUAAGGAGGGAAAAAAUAAAAUUUCAUUGGAUCAGACAAAGGGGAAUGAAGUUGGCAGAAGGAGUAUAGGAAUUGGAAAGACAGUAGAAUGAAUGUGACAUAACUUUCCCAUUCUUAUGUAUGAAUCUGCAACCAGUAUAAUUCCACAUCAUAUACAACUACAAGAAUGGGAUACUAUUUAGAAUAAGUUAUAUUCCAUGUAUGUGUAAUAUGUCAUAAUACACUCUAUAUCUAGAAAGAACAAAAAAAUUUUGGACUUAAAGAUUUCUGUAUGUUAUCCUUUUUGGACUUAUCUCUAUACUGGAUUCUUAUAAAGUCAAGUAUAAGUUUUUACAUUUGUAACUUAGGUAAUCUUAAAUAUUCCUUUCUGUAAAACCAGAUCUAAAAGAAGGAAAAGAUGGUUGGUAUCAGAGAAUUUUUAUAGAUCAGUCUUUUAAGAAAACCUAAGAUGGUUUAGGGCAGGGGUAUUAUAAAUGAAGAUCAAUUCAAACUGUUUAAUUUAGACCUGAAUCACUGUAGAAACUUGUUGUCUAUUGCAAAGUUUGCUGGUAGCUUCCUAUGAUUUGAGUUAGCACUUUUAAGUACUUGAAAUAUAUUUUUACCAUCUCCACACUACUCUGAGAUUGUUCUUUUAAUUCAUCUUGUAGCCAGGGAAACCAUAUGUUAAUGGCCCCUGAAGCUGGGAUUUGUACUAGGCUACUCAUUGAACUGAGGAAGAGUGGGAAUCCCUGAGCCCCUGACUUUCCUGGAUUCCACCUUCCCUUUUAUUGAGAUGAAAAGAGAUAGGAAAUGCUUUCUAGCCCAGAAAUACAAAGACUUGAAGACUCCAAAUCUGAAAUUGAGUCAACAAGUGAGGAGGAGUACUCACAGGGAUGGGGAGAGCAAUGGCAGUGCUCAAAAGGCCAGCCAAGAUGAGAAAUUUCAUUCUGAAGGUAGAGCCUGGAAUUGAAGAUUAGGAGAUCAUUUCCAGUUUCCGUUCCUAUUUCCAUUGUAAAUAGAGGGUUGAGGUAGAGGUGUUGAAAUAGGGUCAAGCUAAAUCCUGCCUCCAGAUACAGAUUCAGGUUGUGUAAACCCAGAGGAGCAUUUAAAAAACUUGGAAUGCCUUUCAACAAGACAUGCAGUCUUUGACUCCUAAUACUGCCUGCCAUCUCCUACUCUUCCUUAUAACCUACAGCUCAGCCUAUAUCUGUUUGGUUGUUCAAAUUUGUGGAUUCUAUACACAAAUAUUUAAUGAGCAUAAUGUUUACUAUUGGCAAUUUAUCAUCACUGGCUAAAACGAGAGGACAAUAUUUAUGUAAUACACAAAUAAAUAUGCUUGGAGCUUAUGCCUCCAGGAGACUUACCAGGCCUUUACAUAGUCUGGAUGCUGUUGUUGAUGCAUACAGUUUCUCAGGAAGAGAUUAUACAGGAAAAAAUUCAUAAAGUAUAGUGGGUUGGUAGAAAAUAAGUACAAGAUGAAUAAAUUUAAUAAAGCAACUCAACAUAAUCUUUACUGACCUGCUGUUCCUGCAAGUAAACAUUUAAAUGUUUUAAAAAUACACUUAAUUCAAAUUACCUUACUGUGUGAGUUUCAAACCAAAUCACUGUACCCUGGAGUUUGAUUUUGGAAGAAAAAAAAUCAAUCAUAUUCUGAUUAAUACUUCUGUCCUGUAUGUGAGACAAGUUAUAACUAUUUAUAGAUAAAUAAUUAUUUAGCUUUUUAUAUAUCUUUAAAGCUUAAUUCUAAGUUAUUUUGGUGCUACUUUACCUGAAUUUAGGCAACUUAUUUCCUUUCCUUUUUUUUUUUCAUGUCUUUGUAUUUUUCUUUCUCAUGGAUUAAAACUUUUGAAGUUCUUUCUUGCUUUGUUAAGUGGAUCUUAUUAAAUUAGCCAACACAAGAAUAUCUUACAUUCUUUUAUCUAGUGCAAUAGAAUCAUCCAAAUUAUAUCUCUUUAAUUACCUUUGCUUCAAAUGGCCCUCGGAGCAACAAAUUCAGGAGGCAGUGUGAUCUCCUAGAGCCUCUCUACCCAUCAAGUGUUUAAGCCAUAUUACUAAUGCCUUUAUAGUCAUGGGCAAUAUGAGUCACACAAUUCAAAGCUAAACUGAGCAGUUGGUUUCAGAUCGGGAAUUCCAACUUUAGUAUCUCAAUUACACAGAGACUUAAAGACUGAUUACUAAGAAAAUAACUUCAUCUCUUUGGUUGGGGUUAGAUUAAAUCUUUAUCAAAACAAACCAAUAAUUAAAAAUGAUAUCCACUAAGAAUAUUCAAGUGUUUCUAUAAUGUGUCAUUUAGGUAUACAUACGGAAGCCUUAAUUGCUGGAGAAAUUUAAGGUUUGAAAUGUUCUAUGUUAAAUGACAUUUGCAUUUCAAAAUGAAAAUUAAUUUCAAAUAAAAAAGUUUAGUAAAUAUUUAGGCAGUGUCCUUAGCAUUAAGACUAAUUCAAUUUAAUUAUUUGGAAAGGACCUGGUUUAAUGUGACUCUGGUUGAAAGCAAGUGACUUAUUGAGUGAAGAAAAAAGAUAAAAAUAAAGUUAACUUAGUGAUAUCUUUCAAGUCAGAUAGAAAAAUGUUUUUUAAAAACCCUCUUUUAAAUAUUGUAAGUGGAAUGAAGUGGAUGACAGGAUCUUUUAUUGUUGUGUUUCAGACCUUGGAAAACUGUAUGGUCUCAUUUAUAUUUUU
RNAcentral lists this long non-coding RNA (3605 nucleotides) under Marmota monax (woodchuck). The record is from RNAcentral. Lineage: Eukaryota; Metazoa; Chordata; Mammalia; Rodentia; Sciuridae.